ACCGGGGUAUAGCCCAUGGAAACGUGGAUUAACACCCCAUAGUACUUUUAUCCUGCCUGGGAUGGGAGUUAAAUGUUCAAGGUAUCGGAUGGGCAUGCGUCCUAUUAGUUAGUUGGCGGGGUAACAGCCCACCAAGACGAUGAUAGGUAGGGGUUCUGAGAGGAAGGUCCCCCACAUUGGAACUGAGACACGGUCCAAACUCCUACGGGAGGCAGCAGUGAGGAAUAUUGGUCAAUGGACGUAAGUCUGAACCAGCCAAGUCGCGUGAGGGAAGACUGCCCUAUGGGUUGUAAACCUCUUUUAUAAGGGAAGAAUAAGUUCUACGUGUAGAAUGAUGCCUGUACCUUAUGAAUAAGCAUCGGCUAACUCCGUGCCAGCAGCCGCGGUAAUACGGAGGAUGCGAGCGUUAUCCGGAUUUAUUGGGUUUAAAGGGUGCGUAGGCGGUUUAUUAAGUUAGUGGUUAAAUAUUUGAGCUAAACUCAAUUGUGCCAUUAAUACUGGUAAACUGGAGUACAGACGAGGUAGGCGGAAUAAGUUAAGUAGCGGUGAAAUGCAUAGAUAUAACUUAGAACUCCGAUAGCGAAGGCAGCUUACCAGACUGUAACUGACGCUGAUGCACGAGAGCGUGGGUAGCGAACAGGAUUAGAUACCCUGGUAGUCCACGCCGUAAACGA
RNAcentral lists this ribosomal RNA (674 nucleotides) under uncultured bacterium. RNAcentral describes it as "bacterial SSU rRNA". It matches the Rfam family "Bacterial small subunit ribosomal RNA", at positions 135 to 809 of the family's 1533-position model. The record is from RNAcentral.